UCGAGAAUUUUUGACAAUGGGGGCAACCCUGAUCGAGCGACGCCGCGUGGAGGAUGAAGGUCUUCGGGUUGUAAACUCCUGUCAUUUGGGAACAAGCGGCUCACGUUAACUGCGUGAGUCUUGAUAGUACCAGAAGAGGAAGGGACGGCUAACUCUGUGCCAGCAGCCGCGGUAAUACAGAGGUCCCAAGCGUUGUUCGGAUUCAUUGGGCGUAAAGGGUGCGUAGGUGGCGUCGUAAGUCAGGUGUGAAAUUUCGGAGCUUAACUCCGAAACUGCAUUUGAUACUGCGGUGCUUGAGGACUGGAGAGGAGACUGGAAUUUACGGUGUAGCAGUGAAAUGCGUAGAGAUCGUAAGGAAGACCAGUGGCGAAGGCGGGUCUCUGGACAGUUCCUGACACUGAGGCACGAAGGCCAGGGGAGCAAACGGGAUUAGAUACCCCCGUAGUCC
This 448-nucleotide ribosomal RNA is filed under the name uncultured bacterium. RNAcentral's name for it is "bacterial SSU rRNA". It matches the Rfam family "Bacterial small subunit ribosomal RNA", at positions 355 to 796 of the family's 1533-position model. The record is from RNAcentral.